Molecule: long non-coding RNA, 3016 nt
Filed under: Malus domestica (apple)
Lineage: Eukaryota; Viridiplantae; Streptophyta; Magnoliopsida; Rosales; Rosaceae
Source: RNAcentral
UUGUAGGUGUCAAUCUCUUUGUCUCGUCGAGUACUACAACUUUCAUUUUUGUUUAACUUGAUUUCGUUGAGUAUCGAAGAAGUUAUGAGCGUUUGAAGUGGUACCCAAAAAUCAGCCAAUUCAUUGGCAUGAAAACGGGUCAAACCCAACCCACCAAUUUAGACCGGCCCAAUUCAUUGGGCCAUGGAACCCAGCCCUUUUAGCUAACCUAAACCCAUUAACCUUUUAUCCUAAGCCCAACCCACCUAGACCUAACCCUAGUCCAAAACCCUUAACCCGGAAUCCUUCCUAAACUAAUUUCGACAUCCUCAAUCCGUUUCCGACAUCCAUUUUCCCAAAUUCAAUUGUUAUAAUAUAUUUUUAUUAAUUGGACUCUUUAUGUGCUUAAGGGCAAUUGUUCGUGACGUUCGGUCUUCGCUAGUUUGCGUGGCUCUUUGGUGGCGAUGUAUCUGUGAGUGGACCCCUUCUAAAAUGCAUAUUUGAAUAGUAGGAAUGCAUACAUUAAAAGCAUGUUUUAAUGAUUACGUUUUAUAAGAUAACAUGCUUACUGAUGCUAGUUUGAAUUAUACAAUUUUUCUCUAUAACCCAUGGUCUUUUUAGGAUAUCUGAUGGAUGACAAUAUAAUAUUUGGAACAUGUUUUCGAACACCUCUUUAUAGUAUAGAUGAUGGAUGACUUUAUACUAUGAAGUUGAUUUUGAGAUAUAUAUAUAUGUGUGUGUGUGUGUGUGUGUGUGUGUGUUCAAUGGUUUUGUACUUACCUAGUGGUCCCUAUUCCGCCUACGGGUGAGGUUACGGUGUUGGCAUAGGGUCGAGAGAAAUAAUCUCUAGCUACGGGCUGAGAGACACGAAAUGGCAUAGGGCCUGAAGAAAUUUCCUCUGGUUACGGCGCAGGGAUGGGAAGCGGGCAUAGGGCCUAGUGUAACAUCCCACAUUGCCCAGGGGAGUGAAUCAUCUAAGCCUUAUAUGUAUAUUCCCAUCUCUACCUAGCACGAAGCUUUUUGGGAGCUCACUGGCUUCGAGUUCCAUCGGAACUUCAAAGUUAAGCGAGUUUGCGCGAGACUAAUCCCAAGAUGGGUGACCCACUGGGAAGUUCUUGUGUGAGUUCCCAGAAAUAAAACCAUGAGGGCGUGGUCGGGGCCCAAAGGGGACAAUAUCAUGCUAUGGUGGAGUCAAGCCCGGGAUGUGGUGGGGGCUCGGGCCGGGAUGUGACAAUUUGGUAUCAAAGCCAAUCCCUGGCCAGAAGUGUGCCGAUGAGGACAUUGGGCCCUUAAAGGGGGUGGAUUGUAACAUCCCACAUCACAUAGGGGUGUGAAUCCUCUAAGCCUUAUAUGUAUAUUCCCAUCUUUACCUAGCACGAGGCCUUUUGGGAGCUCACUGGCUUUGAGUUCCAUCGGAACUUCGAAGUUAAGCAAGUUCACGCGAGAGCAAUCCCAGGAUGGGUGACCCACUGGGAAGUUCUUGUGUGAGUUCCCAGAAACAAAACCGUGAGGGCGUGGUCGGGGCCCAAAGGGGACAAUAUCGUGCUACGGUGGAGUCGAGCCCGGGAUAUGGUGGGGGCCCAGGCCGGGAUAUGACACCUAGAUUUAAGACUGGACAUAUACACUAGCGAUUAUGCCUUAUAUACGAGAUAUGCUUUAUGAGAUGUUUUAUGGCAUGCUAGGGUUUCGGAAAACUUAUCACUUAUUAUGCUAUUAGUUUUCAUAAAACUUUGGGGGUUAGUAUGUUGAUAAUUAUUUUAUUAUAUAUAUAUAUCAACUUGGUCCACUCAUGUUUGUUUUACGUCCCCUUUAGGACUUAGAAUCAAGGCCUACAAUCUCAGCAUCAAGGCACUUCUGCAUCGGUAUCUUUGAGUCCUCUCGGUGUAUGACCCAUUCUGUAACAUCUCACAUCAAUCAACAGAGAGGGGGUGAUGUGCCUUAUAUGUACAUGCCCACCUCCAUAUAGCACAAGGCCUUUUGGGAACUCAUUGGCUUUGGAUUCCAUCAGAACUCUGAAGUUAAGCAAGUUCGGGUGAAAGCAAUCCCAGGAUGGGUGACCCACUGGGAAGUUCUCGUCUGAGUUCCCAGAAACAAAUCUGUGAAGGAAUGGUAAGCCCAAAACAGACAAUAUCGUGCUACGGCGGAGUCGAGACUAGGAUGUGACACAUUCCUUGUUCAUUCAAUUUUUAUAUUAAUUCUUUUAGUGCUCUAGAUUAGAUGUGUGCUCUGAACACAUUCCUUUUUUGUAUAUUAAUUAUAUUUUAAUUUAUAAGUCUUAUUUAUUCUUAUCCUCAUGCAUUAUAAAUGGCUUGCGUCACCUUCGGGUGUCGGCCAGCACGUGACUAUCCUGGUGUUCAGGGAAUAUCGAGAUCGGGGCAUGUCAGUGCGUAUAUUAUGUUGAUUUGAGUCUUAAUUUAUGAAUAUUUUAGGAGUUAUAUUUUAGGUAGGAUUUUGAUUGGUAAUUGAUUGUAGAGUUAAUCUCAGUUUACUACCUUGAAGUUUCUUGAUUUUCAACCUUUGAUACAUGAAGUUUUUUUUUUUGUCCCAAUUUGGUAACUAAAGUCAUAAUUCUAGGACACUUUCAUACAUCCGUUAAAUUUUCCAUCAGAACCUCUAUUAAAUGAUGAUGUGGCGCUUACAUAAACAAUGACUGAGCACCACGUGUCAAUAUGGCCCCACGUGGAUAUUAAAAAUUAAAAAAAAAAAAAAAUCUUUCCUGGGCAUCCUACCUCACCCUUCCCGACCCCCUCAUUCCUUCUCCCUCCCUUCUCUCCUCUGCACCCACCCAACCUCUAUACCGUACCCACUCCUACCCUCUUCACCUCUCUUCCCUUCUUUGUCAUCCACCCAUUUUGCCCAAUUCCUCCCAUCAGAUCGUCGCCAUAUUCGAAACCCCCAAACCCGUUGCCGUCACCAUAGCCUCCAAGAUCAAGACCGUUCAGCGGUUGAGACUAUGAUUCGUUAUCUCUGAAAAGUUGAUCCACUAUUGGCUCCGUUGAUCCAUCGCCACCCGCAACUGACCUUCGAUAACACUUAC